Non-coding RNA from Rattus rattus (black rat), 363 nucleotides. NCBI's taxonomy places the organism in Eukaryota, Metazoa, Chordata, Mammalia, Rodentia, Muridae. The record is from the annotation of a RefSeq genome assembly.
AAGUGGACAGGGGCCAUGGAGAGGAACCUGGGAGCUGUGCUGGGGAUUCUGUGGGUGCAGAUUUGCUGGGUGAGAGGAAAUAAUGUGGAGCAGAGCCCAUCAUUCUUGAGUCUCCAUGAGGGAACCAAUUCUUCUCUGAGAUGCAAUUUUUCUAUUGCCAUGACAACUGUGCAGUGGUUCCGACAGGAUCCCAGGGGCAGCCUCAUCCAUCUGUUCUUCCUGGCUCCAGGAACAAAGGAGAACGGGAGGUUAAAGUCAACAUUCGAUGCUAAGGAGCGCUACAGCACCCUGCACAUCAGUGGUGCCCAGCUGGAGGACUCAGGCACCUACCUCUGUGCUGCUGAGACACGGUGCUCCCAGUGA